RNAcentral lists this ribosomal RNA (254 nucleotides) under uncultured bacterium. RNAcentral describes it as "partial 16S ribosomal RNA". It matches the Rfam family "Bacterial small subunit ribosomal RNA", at positions 524 to 776 of the family's 1533-position model. The record is from RNAcentral.
UACGUAGGGGGCAAGCGUUGUCCGGAUUUAUUGGGCGUAAAGAGCUCGUAGGUGGUUCGGUAAGUCGGAUGUGAAAUCUCCAGGCUCAACCUGGAGGGGUCAUUCGAUACUGCCGUGACUAGAGUUCGGUAGGGGAGUGUGGAAUUCCUGGUGGAGCGGUGAAAUGCGCAGAUAUCAGGAGGAACACCGGUGGCGAAGGCGGAUCUCUGGGCCGUAACUGACGCUGAGGAGCGAAAGCAUGGGGAGCGAACAGG